CCUACGGGAGGCAGCAGUGAGGAAUAUUGGUCAAUGGUCGGGAGCCUGAACCAGCCAAGCCGCGUGAGGGAGGAAGGUACUGUGUAUCGUAAACCUCUUUUGUCAGGGAACAAAGACUGGGACGCGUCCCCGGAUGAGUGUACCUGAAGAAAAAGCAUCGGCUAACUCCGUGCCAGCAGCCGCGGUAAUACGGAGGAUGCGAGCGUUAUCCGGAUUUAUUGGGUUUAAAGGGUGCGUAGGCGGUCUGUUAAGUCAGCGGUGAAAGUCCGGGGCUCAACCCCGGACGCGCCGUUGAAACUGGCAGGCUUGAGUAGGAGAGAGGAAGGCGGAAUGCGCGGUGGAGCGGUGAAAUGCAUAGAUAUCACGCAGAACCCCGAUUGCGAAGGCAGCAUGCCGGCUCCAGACUGACGCUGAGGCACGAAAGCGUGGGUAUCGAACAGGAUUAGAUACCCUAGUAGUC
Molecule: ribosomal RNA, 460 nt
Filed under: uncultured bacterium
Lineage: Bacteria
Description: partial 16S ribosomal RNA
Rfam family: Bacterial small subunit ribosomal RNA
Source: RNAcentral